Long non-coding RNA from Gopherus flavomarginatus (Mexican gopher tortoise), 237 nucleotides. RefSeq lists it as uncharacterized. The record is from RefSeq and is a predicted model, not a curated record. The transcript has 3 exons. Lineage: Eukaryota; Metazoa; Chordata; Testudines; Testudinidae.
GAGAAAUGGCUGCAGUGGAGUCAGUCCAGGGGCCGGUGACCUUCAAGGAGAUGGCUAUGUAUUUCACCAGGGAAGAGUGGGCUCUGCUGGACCCCACUCAGAGAGCCCUCUACUGGGAUGUCAUGCAGGAGAACUAUGAGACUGUGACCUCGCUGGGCCAGAGAAUAACAUCCAUGUUUCGCUGCAGAUCAUCUCGUCCUCCCAGGGGCAAGGAAAUGGCUGCAAUGGAGCUGGCUC